Molecule: ribosomal RNA, 401 nt
Filed under: uncultured bacterium
Lineage: Bacteria
Description: bacterial SSU rRNA
Rfam family: Bacterial small subunit ribosomal RNA
Source: RNAcentral
AACCUACCUAUCGAGACGGGGAAUAACCCGGCGAAAGUCGGACUAAUACCGCAUAAAACAGGGGGCACCGCAUGGUGAUAUUUGUAAAGAAUUCGCUGAUAGAUGGGCAUGCGUUCCAUUAGGGUAGUUGGUGAGGUAACGGCUCACCAAGCCGACGAUGGAUAGGGGAACUGAGAGGUUGGUCCCCCACACUGGUACUGAGACACGGACCAGACUCCUACGGGAGGCAGCAGUGAGGAAUAUUGGUCAAUGGGCGGGAGCCUGAACCAGCCAAGUCGCGUGAAAAGGAAGAAGGAUCUAUGGUUCGUAAACUUCUUUUGCAGGGGAAUAAAGUGCAGGACGUGUCCUGUUUUGUAUGUACCCUGAGAAUAAGGAUCGGCUAACUCCGUGCCAGCAGCGGC